Aquila chrysaetos chrysaetos is the source of this 1276-nucleotide long non-coding RNA. RefSeq lists it as uncharacterized. The transcript has 4 exons. NCBI's taxonomy places the organism in Eukaryota, Metazoa, Chordata, Aves, Accipitriformes, Accipitridae. The record is from RefSeq and is a predicted model, not a curated record.
UUUGGGCUGCCCCUGCCAGGCGGGGGUGAAGGGCAGGUCAGGCAGCGGGACUGGGAUCUCUCCCCAUCUGAUCAGCCGAAUCCCCCUCCUCCCCGGGCAGCUGAUCAGACCCAGCAGCGAUGGGGUAGACCGAAACAACGGGAAGAAUUUGGUCAGGCUGUGCAUUUCUCCUUCAGGUGGGGGUCACCCAGGCGCCGCGGAAGGAGAGCCGCAGGGAUGCGUUUUGGCAGGCGCCCACAUGUUUUUCUCCUUCCCGUGCCCCAGAAGGGAAAGUGACGAAUUCUGCCAAAGAUGCGUGCUUGGAUGUGAGAUGAUUUAGCCAAAGAGAAAAUAACUGGAUGGCUGGAAGAAGGAGCAUUUGAUAGGAAAUAACCUUGGAGCGCAGCUCUCUGACAUGAUGGUGUGCAAGGUGCCCAGCUUCCUGAGAUGACUGUGCUCCAUGAAAUGCCAAUGGGGAAAAUAACUUCCAGCGGAGAUGAUAAAGGACAAUAAAGACAACCAGAUCACACAGAAUCCAAUGCAAGAGAGACUGCAGAGCGGGCUGGGUGCUCCCUUCUGCUCCUCUGCACCUGAUCAAGAAAUGGUUUCAGCAUUGACAUACGUAAAGUUCCUCCUGUUCAGUUUUGGACUCUGACUAGGUGCUGAGGCAAUGAGUCGAGUAUUUGGCUGGUGUAAAUCAGUGCAGCUCAACUGACUUGGUCGUGUUGUACCUGUAGAUGUGUUGCUUCUUCCUCCACCGGGAAGAUGUCGGCCACUCCCUCACUGCAAGGCAAGAGCGUGGGCAGCUUCUCCACGCCGAUGCUGUAGGACCGCAGCAGAGUGAUACCUGAGCAAAAACUCACACCUCCUCGCGCAUCACUUCAUAGUAUCUGGUCUGUAGCCCGCAAGUGAAACUACAGCUCCCAACACCUGGGAUCUGUGCCUGACUGGCUGCCUGCUACCUUUGGGCAUGUCGCUUCUCCCGUCUCUGCCUCAGCUUCCCCAAGUGUACGACGCUUUAUGAAGGACUUUGAAUAUCACUGAGUAAAAAGCAUUAAAUGAGAUCGUCUUGUCCUUCUGGCCUGAUGUACGUUAUACAGCCACUGUGGCUGGGAAUAAACAUCCCUCUGUUUCCCUCGUUUCACAGUGACACCCAGUUCCCAGGAUUAUCUCCCCCUUUGUCUGUGACAACACUGGAGAAAAAAACCUCAAAGAUGUUCACGCCGUGGAGAUCGGGGCUGACACAUGGACAUCACGUCGCUGUUUGUGUCCAUUCAUCUCUCGUUAACAGCUUACC